This 847-nucleotide ribosomal RNA is filed under the name Pseudoalteromonas sp. RNAcentral describes it as "bacterial SSU rRNA". It matches the Rfam family "Bacterial small subunit ribosomal RNA", at positions 50 to 883 of the family's 1533-position model. The record is from RNAcentral. Lineage: Bacteria; Pseudomonadati; Pseudomonadota; Gammaproteobacteria; Alteromonadales; Pseudoalteromonadaceae.
AACAAAUGCAAGUUCGAGCGGUAACAGAAAAGUAGCUUUGCUACUUUGCUGACGAGCGGCGGACGGGUGAGUAAUGCUUGGGAACAUGCCUUGAGGUGGGGGACAACAGUUGGAAACGACUGCUAAUACCGCAUAAUGUCUACGGACCAAAGAGGGCUUCGGCUCUCGCCUUUAGAUUGGCCCAAGUGGGAUUAGCUAGUUGGUGAGGUAAUGGCUCACCAAGGCGACGAUCCCUAGCUGGUUUGAGAGGAUGAUCAGCCACACUGGGACUGAGACACGGCCCAGACUCCUACGGGAGGCAGCAGUGGGGAAUAUUGCACAAUGGGCGCAAGCCUGAUGCAGCCAUGCCGCGUGUGUGAAGAAGGCCUUCGGGUUGUAAAGCACUUUCAGUCAGGAGGAAAGGUUAGUAGUUAAUACCUGCUAGCUGUGACGUUACUGACAGAAGAAGCACCGGCUAACUCCGUGCCAGCAGCCGCGGUAAUACGGAGGGUGCGAGCGUUAAUCGGAAUUACUGGGCGUAAAGCGUACGCAGGCGGUUUGUUAAGCGAGAUGUGAAAGCCCCGGGCUCAACCUGGGAACUGCAUUUCGAACUGGCAAACUAGAGUGUGAUAGAGGGGUGGUAGAAUUUCAGGUGUAGCGGUGAAAUGCGUAGAGAUCUGAAGGAAUACCGAUGGCGAAGGCAGCCACCCUGGGUCAACACUGACGCUCAUGUACGAAAAGCGUGGGGAGCAAACGGGAUUAAAUACCCCCGGUAGUCCACGCCGUAAACGAUGUCUACUAGAAGCUCGGAGCCUCGGUUUCUGUUUUUCAAAGCUAACGCAUUAAGUAAACCGGCCUGGGGGAGUAC